UGCAGUCGAACGGCAGCACGGGUGCUUGCACCUGGUGGCGAGUGGCGAACGGGUGAGUAAUAUAUCGGAACGUGCCCUAGAGUGGGGGAUAACGUAGCGAAAGUUACGCUAAUACCGCAUACGAUCUACGGAUGAAAGUGGGGGAUCGCAAGACCUCAUGCUCGUGGAGCGGCCGAUAUCUGAUUAGCUAGUUGGUGGGGUAAAAGCCUACCAAGGCGACGAUCAGUAGCUGGUCUGAGAGGACGACCAGCCACACUGGGACUGAGACACGGCCCAGACUCCUACGGGAGGCAGCAGUGGGGAAUUUUGGACAAUGGGGGAAACCCUGAUCCAGCAAUGCCGCGUGUGUGAAGAAGGCCUUCGGGUUGUAAAGCACUUUUGUCAGGAACGAAACGGUGGGGGCUAAUACCUCCUGCUAAUGACGGUACCUGAAGAAUAAGCACCGGCUAACUACGUGCCAGCAGCCGCGGUAAUACGUAGGGUGCGAGCGUUAAUCGGAAUUACUGGGCGUAAAGCGUGCGCAGGCGGUUGUGCAAGACAGAUGUGAAAUCCCCGGGCUUAACCUGGGAAUUGCAUUUGUGACUGCACGGCUAGAGUGUGUCAGAGGGGGGUAGAAUUCCACGUGUAGCAGUGAAAUGCGUAGAUAUGUGGAGGAAUACCGAUGGCGAAGGCAGCCCCCUGGGAUAACACUGACGCUCAUGCACGAAAGCGUGGGGAGCAAACAGGAUUAGAUACCCUGGUAGUCCACGCCCUAAACGAUGUCUACUAGUUGUCGGGUCUUAAUUGACUUGGUAACGCAGCUAACGCGUGAAGUAGACCGCCUGGGGAGUACGGUCGCAAGAUUAAAACUCAAAGGAAUUGACGGGGACCCGCACAAGCGGUGGAUGAUGUGGAUUAAUUCGAUGUCACGCGAAAAACCUUACCUACCCUUGACAUGUACG
RNAcentral lists this ribosomal RNA (941 nucleotides) under uncultured Burkholderiales bacterium. Its description in RNAcentral is "bacterial SSU rRNA". It matches the Rfam family "Bacterial small subunit ribosomal RNA", at positions 56 to 992 of the family's 1533-position model. Lineage: Bacteria; Pseudomonadati; Pseudomonadota; Betaproteobacteria; Burkholderiales. The record is from RNAcentral.